Molecule: ribosomal RNA, 433 nt
Filed under: Disonycha conjuncta
Lineage: Eukaryota; Metazoa; Arthropoda; Insecta; Coleoptera; Chrysomelidae
Description: eukaryotic LSU rRNA
Source: RNAcentral
AAACCCGAAAGGUCGAAAGGGGAAAUUCAUUCGCGUUUCGAUGAUCGAAGGCUGGCGUGUUUAUGACGGAUCGUAUAUUUUUAUAUUGUUCGCAUAUCACGUUCGUUUAAUCGAUUUCGAACGCGUGCACUUUUCCUCCAGUAGGACGUCGCGAUCCGUUGGGUGUCUGUCUAAGAAUUGAGGUGGAGACCAUGUGGCUUUUUAGUUGCUUGGACCCUUGAAUUUCCGACAGACUCGCUCGACGGUAUAACGAUGGCGCAAGGCCGCUACAUUCAGUUAGCGUUCGGCCCGUAGCAAGCGCGUUCUGUGUUUGACGGCAAUUCGGACCUAGCGCCGAUUCCGUUCCAGAACGACUGUUGGUUGCGGUGCUCUCGAACAGACCUUGUUGAAACGCCGAUCAGCGACGAUUUAGCUUUGGGUACUUUCAGGACCC